GAGAUGUGGUAAACAGAAACUGUACAAAGCCGGUGGAACCGUCAGGAAGUUUAAGGGAGAAUCUCUGGGAACGUGGACUCAAUAUCGGAAACAUCGAUCCAUUUUGUAUCGGUUGUGCAGUUAUUUUUGCAGUUGUAACAUUUUCAGAACUUUUUAUAUAAUUCUAACCAUUCUACCAACAUAUCUUUCUAUUAGGAUUUCAAAGUAUAAUGAAAUUUCCUAUUUGUGGAGCACUUCAUUUCCUCUCUAAAUUCUCAAAGUAGUCUGCUUUACAUGCAAAACUUGAACUUUUUCUGUUUGUAAUUUCUAAAUUCCCAUUGAAGUGGACUAUGCAUCCAAGAUGUUUGAUGAUAUGCAAAACUUGAACUUCUUCUGUUGGUAAUUUCUCGGGUGUUAGUUUUCGAUUGUUUUGAAUAAUUUCUUGAGUGAUCGUACCUAAUUGCAAGGUAUCAAAAUUGAUGCUAUAAGAUUAGGUCUCGUAAUUUGUGUUUUCUAUUGUUAUUUGUUCCUGUAAGAAUAACUUUAUCAGUAGAUCCAGUUCCAAAAAGGAAGAGACGAACAAGGAAAGAUGAGGAUGGAUGAUCUGCACAACUGCUUGUGUGACAAUCUCUUCUAUUCAGAAGAGAAAGCGGAAGAUGAACGAAGAUGCACCUAUUUUUUCAGCCUAUUGCGUACAAAGAUCGGUUGAAGCCUAAUCAAUUGAAAGAAAAUUAAUAUGCCUUGGGAUGCCCUUUUUUUAUGCACAGUAUUUCAGUGUAGAUGAAGACAUUGUCUUGAACAAAUUGAUGAGUUGAAUCCUCUUCUUAGUGGAGAUGUUUUCAGCAAGAUUGAUCCCAACAUGUAGGAGUAACUAAGUUUCUCAGGUGAAAAUACAUAGACAAUGUAACUAGGUUGAGAAUUGCUGAACAUUUAUAGGUUUCACCAGCUCUUUUUCUUUGAUGUGAUAA
Nicotiana tabacum (common tobacco) is the source of this 947-nucleotide non-coding RNA. Lineage: Eukaryota; Viridiplantae; Streptophyta; Magnoliopsida; Solanales; Solanaceae. The record is from RefSeq and is a predicted model, not a curated record.